RNAcentral lists this transfer RNA (76 nucleotides) under Desulfobacterales bacterium. Its description in RNAcentral is "tRNA-Asn". It matches the Rfam family "tRNA". From Rfam's summary of the family: Transfer RNA (tRNA) molecules are approximately 80 nucleotides in length. Their secondary structure includes four short double-helical elements and three loops (D, anti-codon, and T loops). The record is from RNAcentral. Lineage: Bacteria; Pseudomonadati; Thermodesulfobacteriota; Desulfobacteria; Desulfobacterales.
UCCUCGAUAGCUCAGUUGGUAGAGCAGGUGGCUGUUAACCCCCCUGUCGGGGGUUCGAGUCCCUCCCCGGGAGCCA